RNAcentral lists this ribosomal RNA (501 nucleotides) under uncultured bacterium. Its description in RNAcentral is "bacterial SSU rRNA". It matches the Rfam family "Bacterial small subunit ribosomal RNA", at positions 28 to 517 of the family's 1533-position model. The record is from RNAcentral.
GAUGAACGCUAGCUACAGGCUUAACACAUGCAAGUCGAGGGGAAACGAUAGAGAAAGCUUGCUUUUUCUAGGCGUCGACCGGCGCACGGGUGAGUAACGCGUAUCCAACCUGCCCAUCACUUGGGGAUAACCUUGCGAAAGUAAGACUAAUACCCAAUGAUAUCUCUAGAAGACAUCUGAAAGAGAUUAAAGAUUUAUCGGUGAUGGAUGGGGAUGCGUCUGAUUAGCUUGUUGGCGGGGUAACGGCCCACCAAGGCGACGAUCAGUAGGGGUUCUGAGAGGAAGGUCCCCCACAUUGGAACUGAGACACGGUCCAAACUCCUACGGGAGGCAGCAGUGAGGAAUAUUGGUCAAUGGACGAGAGUCUGAACCAGCCAAGUAGCGUGCAGGAUGGCGGCCCUAUGGGUUGUAAACUGCUUUUAUAAGGGAAUAAAGUGAGUCUCGUGAGGCUUUUUGCAUGUACCUUAUGAAUAAGGACCGCUAAUUCCGUGCCAGCAGCCG